Molecule: small nucleolar RNA, 132 nt
Filed under: Tupaia belangeri (northern tree shrew)
Lineage: Eukaryota; Metazoa; Chordata; Mammalia; Scandentia; Tupaiidae
Description: Small nucleolar RNA SNORA72 (ENSTBEG00000019093.1)
Rfam family: Small nucleolar RNA SNORA72
About the family: U72 is a member of the H/ACA class of snoRNAs.
Source: RNAcentral
CUGCAAGUAUUCUCACUUUUCUGAUUCUGUAAUAAUCAGAACAGGCUAAACAUUUGCUACAUUAAGACCACACAUAUAUCUCCAGACCUUGUUCUUUCCCUAUGUCUGGUUUUAUAAAUGCUGGUAAUAAGG